UUAAAGAAUGAUAUGUGACAAAUGGGCCCAAAAGAAUUAAAGGAAAUGGAUAAAUGGUAGUAAGUUUAUACAAGGGAACUCACCAAUGGCUGUGGUUGACAGGUGAACUUAAUAAUUGUGUAUAUUGUAUAAGUGUAUAAAUAUUUGGUAAGAUUUAUGUUUUAUGCCUAUGAACUUACUAAGCUUCUAUAAGCUUACAUGAGUGUAAUCAAUGUCUCUUGUAGAUUGACGUGGAAGUAUACGGAGGAUCGGAUCAACACAGAGGAUCACACUAUCCAGAUUAUCUCCGGUAGCUUUUGUAAAUUUCUUUUUGAUUUAUAUGGCAUGUAUAAGGUUUGAUGAUUAUAUAAAUAUUAAGACUUGUUUAAGAAAUAUACAUUAAAGUAAAGAAUGAUGAAUAUGUUAAAUAGUAUAAUUAUAAUAGUAGUAUAAUUUGGUAUCAAAUUGAUUGAAAUGAAUUGGUUGUUUGGAUUGGUCUCGGUUUUAAAAUUUGCAGGGAAUGUUAGAUAUUUAUAAAGGGGUUAUAUUGAGCAAAAAAAAAAUUGGGAUUUUGCGAAAAAUUCCCUAUGGUUUCGAUUUAAUUCUGGUUUUGUCUCGAAGUAUGUUUUGGGCUCUGGAGGCCCAUCUAAAAGAUGCCAUGACAUGUUUUAGUAAAUGAAUAGUAUUUAACUCGUAUUAAUGGAAAAUUAAUUCAGUAAACUUCGAUAAUGCCUCCUACCCUAUUCUAGCGACGAAUACGAGUAAGGGGUGUUACAUUUAGUGGUAUCAGAGCCCAGUUUAGCCGGUUCUCGAAACAUGUGUUACGUGUAAAGUGUUUAGAAAUACAUGCCAUAUAAAUCUAUGAUAGUGUGAUGUGUAUGAUUCGAUCUAAUCUUUUUGUCAUUUUUAUAGAUAUUCUUCGAUUAUAAAGAUGUCAGAUAGACCUGAACGCAGUGAACAGCAGGAAGCUAUCAGUAGAGUGCAGACUUCUGAACAAGGAACAAGUAGUGAUAUUCUAAUUUUUAUGAUACGAGAGCGAAAACUUAAAAAUAUGAUUUAUGGAGUUAUGAAUCAGUGGUAUAAGGAGAUGAUACAAGAAAGAAGUCAGGCUCAACCACCUUCUCCCCCUACUGCACCACCUGUGGUACAUCCGGUUGCUCCUCCACCUCCUUCAAUAAUUGAAACUAGUAAACGUUCUCCGAUUGAAAAGCUGAGGAAGUUUGGAGCUGAGGAAUUUCGAGGGAGAUCAGAUGAUGAUCUUGUAAAAGCUGAGUAUUGGCUACAGAGUUUGGUAAGAAUUUUUAAACAGAUGGCUUGUUCUCCGAAGGAUUAUCUACGAUGUGCUGUCUCAUUGUUAAAAGAAGAAGCAUAUAACUGGUGGGAAACUGUGGAAGCUGUAGUACCUGCAGAGAAACUUACUUGGGAAUUUUUCCAGAACGAGUUUAAAAAGAAAUAUGUGGGGAAAAGAUAUCUAGACAAGAAAAAGAGAGAAUUUCUUGAUCUACGGCAGGGAAAUAAGUCAGUGGCUGAAUACGAAAGAGAAUUUGUCUACCUCAGCAAAUAUGCUCGAGACAUUGUACCUACUGAAAAAGAAAUGUGUAUCAGAUUUGAAGAAGGGUUAAAUGAUAAGAUUAGAAUGAUGAUUGGGGGUAAUGAAAUACGGGAGUUCGUUGUUCUGUCAGACCGUGCUCAAAAGCUCGAAGAAGUAUAUAACAGAAAAAUGCAACGAGAUCAGAAAAAUAAAGAGCCAUUUAAAAGAGGUGCUUCUAAGUCAUUUUCAGAUUUGCCGGUAAAGAAAUCUAGAGAAGAAAUUAGUCGAACUACAUCCGUGCCAGGAAGAUUGGUUAGAGGUAGAUCAAGACAAUCUGAUUUCAGGGUAUUUGAUCGACCUGCAGCAAGUGUGAGCAGUGUUCAGAAUACUCCCUAGCCUAAGUGUCAAUAUUGUGGAAGACAUCAUUUCGGUGAAUGCAGGACUAAGAUGGGGGUUUGUUAUAAAUGUGGGGCUACUGAUCAUCUUAUUCGAGAUUGUCCCCAGCUGCAAAAAGAUGAAGUGGAUUAGAAAAAGAUACAGAGAACCACUCCACAAAUAAGUAGACGUUCGGGCCAGAGCAGUGCUACAGGGGCUACCCGUUCGGGUGUGAGAGAACCAGUUAGUCAAUCAGAGAAUAGAGCACCAGCACGUACCUAUGCCAUUCGAGCAAGGGAAGAGGCUACGGCUUCUGAUGUAAUUGCUGGUAUUUUCUAUCUUUAUGAUGUUACUGUUUAUGCAUUAAUAGACCCUGGGUCUACUCAUUCAUAUAUUUGCAAUAUGCUAGCAUCUAAAAAGAAAUUAUCUGUUGAGUCCACUAAUUAUGAUAUACAAGUCACUAAUCCAUUAGGUCAAAGUGUGAUGGUUAAUUUAAUAUGUCGUAAUUGUCCACUAAAAGUGAAAGGCUGUGAAUUCCCUGUUGAUUUGAUGUUGUUACCCUUUCAGGAAUUUGAUAUUAUUCUAGGGAUGGAUUGGUUAACAAAACAUGACGCUGUAGUGAACUGUCGAGAGAAACGGAUUGAUUUGAAAAAUCAGACAUGAGAAAUGAUUUCGGCUGAGUUUGGAAAUAUGAAAGAUAAUGUUCGAAUUAUUUCAGCCUUUUCAGCUCAUAAGCUAAUACGGAAGGGUAAUGAAGCAUAUUUAGCUUAUAUUCUUGAUACUCGGGAUUCUGAAUCAAAGUUGAAACAGUUGCCAGUUGUUAAUGAAUUUGCUGAUGUGUUUCUUGAGGAAUUGCCGGGUUUACCACCAGAUCGCGAAGUUGAGUUUGUGAUUGAUGUGAUCCCGGGAACAGCUCCAAUAUCCGUAACACCAUAAAGAAUGGCACCGACUGAAUUAAAAGAGUUAAAGACUCAGUUGCAAGAAUUGUUAGAUAAGGGGUUUAUUAGACCGAGUACAUCUCCUUAGGGUGCACCUGUUUUGUUUGUGAAAAAGAAAGAUGGUUCGUUGAGAUUAUGUAUAGAUUACAGACAAUUAAAUAUGGUUACAAUCAAGAACAAAUAUCCUUUGCCCCACAUUGAUGAUUUGUUCGAUCAAUUGAAAGGUGCUGCUAUGUUUUCAAAAAUAGAUCUUCGAUUUGGGUAUUAUCAGCUGAAAGUUACAGAAUGUGACAUGCCAAAAAUUGCCUUCAGAACUCGGUAUGGUCAUUAUGAGUUUUUGGUAAUGCCAUUUGGUUUAACUAAUGCUCCUGCUGCAUUUAUAGACUUGAUGUCAGAUUUUUCAACCUUAUUUGGAUAGAUUCGUGGUUGUAUUUAUUGAUGAUAUACUGAUCUAUUCGAAGACCGAGCCUGAUCAUGCACAACACUUGAGAAGUGUGUUACAGACUUUGAGAGAGAAGCAGUUGUAUGCAAAGUUCAGCAAGUGUGAAUUUUGGCUACAUGAGGUUGGAUUUCUAGGUCAUAUUGUUUCAGCUGAAGGAAUUCGAGUAGAUCCAAGUAAAGUGUCAGCAGUGGUGAAUUGGAAAACUCUAAAGAACGUAACAGAAGUGCGAAGUUUCCUGGGAUUAGCAGGAUACUACCGCCGAUUUGUUAAAAAUUUUCAAUGAUUGCCUUGCCAAUGACUCGACUACUUCAGAAGAAUGUUGAAUUUGUAUGGUUUGAAGAGUGCCAAGAAAGUUUUGACCAGUUGAAGAAGAUGUUGACAGAAGCUCCAGUGUUAACUUAGCCAGAAUCAGGUAUACCAUAUGUUGUGUAUAGUGAUGCAUCUUUAAAUGGUUUGGGUUGUGUUUUAAUGCAAUCAGGGAAAGUAGUGGCAUAUGCUUCUCGACAAUUAAAAUCGCACGAGAAAAAUUACCCUACCCAUGAUUUGGAGUUGGCCGCAAUUGUGUUUGCUUUAAAAAUCUGGAGACAUUAUUUAUAUGGGGAAAAUGUUAUGUGUAUACCGAUCACAAAAGUCUGAAAUAUUUGAUGACACAGAAAGAGCUGAACUUGAGAUAGAGACGGUGGCUCGAACUAUUGAAAGAUUAUGAUCUUGUUAUUGAUUAUCACCUGGGGAAAGCUAAUGUGGUCGCUGAUGCACUUAGCCAAAAAUCAUCAUUGUUUGCACUUCGAGCAAUGAAUCUUCAUUUGUCUGUUAAUGAAGAUGGCUCAGUAUUAGCAGAAUUGAAAGCAAAAUCUACAUUCCUUCAACGGAUCCGUGAAUUACAGAGUGAUUAUCCGAAACUAGUGCUGAAACGACAAAUAGUUCAGGAUAAUUUGAGUUCAGAAUAUAGCGUUGAUGAUGGUGGUAUGUUGCGUUAUCGUAAUAGAAUUUGUGUUCCGAAAAAAUCCAGAAUUGAAAAAUGAUAUUCUUGCUGAAGCUUAUAAUAGUAAGUAUUCUAUUCAUCCGGGUAGUACAAAAAUGUAUUGCGAUUUAAAAAGAAUGUACUGGUGGCCUGGUAUAAAGCGAGAGAUGUGUGAAUUUGUUGUAAAAUGUUUAAUCUGUCAGUAGGUGAAAGCAGAGCAUCAAGUACCAACGGGUUUAUUACAACCUAUUAUGAUUCUUGAACGGAAGUGGGAACACAUUACGAUGGAUUUUGUAUCAGGAUUGCCUGUGACUCUGAAAAAGAAAGAUUCAAUCUGGGUUAUCGUUGAUAGAUUAACAAAGUCGGCACAUUUUAUUCCAGUCAGAUCAAAUUUUUCAUUGGAGAAGUUAGCAGAAUUGUACAUUUCUGAGAUUGUGAGAUUACAUGGAGUUCCAAUAUCUAUUAUUUCGGAUCGAGAUCCGAGAUUUACUUCGAGAUUUUGGAGUAAAUUAUAGGAGGCUUUGGGCACUAAAUUAAAUUUCAGCACAGCUUUUCAUCCUCAGACAGACGGGCAGUCGGAGCGAGUGAUUCAGAUUUUAGAAGAUAUGUUAAGGUGUUGUGUACUUGAGUUUGGCGGCAGCUGGGAAAGGUACUUUCCUUUAGUCGAAUUUGCUUAUAAUAAUAGUUAUCAAACUAGUAUUAAAAUGGCACCAUUUGAAGCUCUGUAUAGAAGAAAGUGUAAAACUCCAUUAUAUUGGUCUGAAUUAAGUGAACAGAAACUAAUGGGAGUGGACUUGAUUCGGGAAACCGAAGAAAAAGUUCGUAUUAUUCGAGAUUGUUUAAAAGCUGCCUCCGAUCGGCAAAAAUCAUAUGCAAAUUUAAAGAGAAGAGAUAUAGAGUUUAAUGUGGGUGAUCGUGUAUUCUUGAAAGUGUUACCGUGGAAGAAAGUUUUGCGGUUCGGUAGAAAGGAAAAACUCAGCCCACGAUUUAUCGGGCCGUAUAAAAUCAUUGAAAGAAUCGGUCCGGUAGCUUAUAGAUUGGCUUUGCCCCCGGAGCUUGAAAAAAUUCAUAACGUGUUUCAUGUGUCUAUAUUGAGACGUUACAGAUCAAAUCCAUCACAUGUAAUCCCUUAUACAGAAAUAGAGCUCCAACCCGACAUGACUUAUUCAGAAGAACCGGUGAAAAUUCUAGCUUGGGAAAUUAAAGAGUUAAGGAACAAACGGGUACCGUUAGUAAAAGUGUUGUGGCAUAGACAUGGUGUGGAGGAGGCAACCUGGGAAACAGAAGAAUCAAUGAGAUCACAAUAUUCGAACCUAUUUUCAGGUAACAAAUUUCGAGGACGAAAUUUCUUAAAAGGGGGAGAAUUGUAAUAGCCUAAAUUUUCAGUGGUGUCGGAACAGUGAUUCGAGAUCACUAAAUCCGACAAAUGAGUAGAAAAUAUUAAUAAUUUAGUGAAUAUAAGUUAAGUGUGAAGUUAGGAAAAUUUUUGAAAUAGCGAAUAGUGUACUAGAAAUAAAAAUUUUAAAAAUUAGAAUCGAAAAUGAGAUAUCGAGAGUUUGAAAAUUUUAAAACGAGCCAUAAAUAUUUUUAUAAAUAUUUAUGGAGUGUUAAUAAGUUAGUAUUAAAGUUUCAUUAAGAAAUUUUAAAGUUUCGAUAGUUAAUUGAAUAAAAAGGAUUAAAUUGUAACAAAUGUAAAAUUAUGGGAAAUGAUUAAAUAGCUUAAAUAAUAAAAGAAAGAGGGUUUAAAAGGCAAAUGGACCCAAGGUCUAUUUGGGCUGGACGGCAAGGUGCAUGAAAUCAGCAGGAAAAUUGAUGAAUUAAGGGCAAAAUUGGAAUAUUACAAAAUUUACUUAAUAAACUAGGACUUAAGUGGAAUUAUCUAGAAUUCUCAUUAUUUUUCUGCAUUCUCAUCAGAAAAACACCAUAGAAGGGUUUUCUUAAGCUGGGUUUUUAUAUUUUUACUGCAAUUAAGUUGAAUUCUUGAUUAUUUCUUGAAAUUUUUGUGUUUUUAUGACAUUUACAACUAGGUCCACUUGUUGAAUUCAUUAGUUUUUGAUUCUAUGAAAGAAAUUGGAAGUUGUUAUGAAUAUGUGUUGGAAUUAUAUCAUGAUUUAGCAUGGAAUUAGAGUUUAAAUUGUUUAUAUGCUGAUUUUAUUGAAAGAAUUGAAUAGAAAGUGAAUGUUUGGGACCUAAUGGUAAAAGAGUUUGAAGUUAGGGUUUUAUGUGGAAAUUAUGAAUUUAAAUAAUUGUGAAAUAACUUAUAAUGUCUAGUUAAAGCAUUAAUUUGGAAAAAUUAGCUUCAUUGACGGAUUAAUUGAGCAAGGACUGAAUUGUAUGAACUAUGAAAUUUGGGGCAAAAAACGAAAUCAACAUUUGCACUAAAACAGUUUUGGACAGCAGUAGUAGUCUAACUUUGAAAAAUCACCAUAAAUUUUAGAAAUCUAAUUAUAAAAUGAAAAGAAUAUGAAAUUAAAUCUUAUUGAGUCUAGUUUCUCAUAGAAGAAACGGUGUAAGUAACGGAAUUGUAGAUCAUGAGAUAUAAUAGAUUUUGUGAGACAAUGUCAGAAUGAUUUCGGGUUCCCUUGUUCUGACUUUGGAAAAUCAUAAAAAAUUGGAGAAAAAUAAUUAUGGGCUUAAAUUUAUAUUUUUAAAAUCCUUAAUGAGUCUAUUUUCAAUAAAAACAAACAUGGACAUCAUCCGAAUUCUGUAUGAAGAGAUAAUUAAUUUUUAGUGAAGAAGGGUCAGAAUUGUCAGAUAGCAGAACAGGGGUGAAUUUAAAGAAUAAACUGUACUUAUUGGCUAAACAAAAAAUUCUAAAAAUUUUAUGAUAAGAAUAUAUAUGAGUCUAGUUUCAUGGAAAAUUAGCGGAUCCUAAUUUGGAGUUCUGUAACUAAAGAUAAAAAUAAUUUAGUGACUAUGGCACUGAUGGACAGCAUUGGAAUAUACAUAAGUAAAUAAUGAAAUUAUAGAUAAUAUUACUUAUAAGCGGGUUGAAGAUGAAGUCAAUACUGAUAAGUGAAUGAUUUUACAAUGAUAGAUCGAGAACCCGAAGCAAGUCGAGGAAAAUAAAAAGUAGCUGAUUAGUCUCUAAACUUUCACAAAUUUUGCAAAUCGACCUAGGUAUGUUCAUAUGGUUGAAGUUUAAUGAUUAUAUGUUAAUUUUAUGAAUUAUAUAAUGCAAUAUGUAUGAUGAAAUAUAUUUAUUGAUAAAUAGAGAAUAAAACAACAACACAAAAAUCGAAUAAAUGAUUAAAUUGAGCGGAAUGUCGGAUUUGAGUACUUCUGAUCAAUGACAAGUGAUAAGUGGUAGUCUCAGCUACACUUAUCUGAUCAGUGAUAAGUGACAAGCGACAAGCGACAAGUGAUAAGUGGUAGCUUUAGCUACACUUAUCUGAUCAGUGACAAGUGAUAAGUGAUAAGUGGUAGUUUUAGCUACACUUAUCUGAUCAGUGACAAGUGAUAAAUGUGAUCAGUGUAAGACCAUGGCAGGACUAUGACUUCAAAAGGUGAUAAGUGAUCAUACGCAAGACCAUAGUUAUACUAUGGCAAAGUGAAAGUGAAGUACUCAAUUUUCCAUAACCAUUCCCUAAUUUGGUUAAAGAAUGAUAUGUGACAAAUGGGCCUAAAAGAAUUAAAGGAAAUAGAUAAGUGGUAGUAAGUUUAUACAAGGGAACUCACCAAUGGCUGUGGUUGAUAGGUGAACUUAAUAAUUGUGUAUAUUGUAUAAGUGUAUAAAUAUUUGGUAAGAUUUAUGUUUUAUGCCUAUGAACUUACUAAGCUUCUAUAAGCUUACAUGAGUGUAAUCAAUGUCUCUUGUAGAUUGACGUGGAAGUAUACGGAGGAUCGGAUCAACACAAAGGAUCACACUAUCCAGAUUAUCUCCGGUAGCUUUUGUAAAUUUCUUUUUGAUUUAUAUGGCAUGUAUAAGGUUUGAUGAUUAUAUAAAUACUAAGACUUGUUUAAGAAAUAUACAUUAAAGUAAAGAAUGAUGAAUAUGUUAAAUAGUAUAAUUAUAAUAGUAGUAUAAUUUGGUAUCAAAUUGAUUGAAAUGAAUUGGUUGGUUGGAUUGGUCUCGGUUUUAAAAUUUGCAGGGAAAGUUAGAUAUUUAUAAAGGG
RNAcentral lists this long non-coding RNA (8341 nucleotides) under Gossypium barbadense (sea-island cotton). RNAcentral's name for it is "long non-coding RNA (GBAR_LNC001049)". The record is from RNAcentral. Lineage: Eukaryota; Viridiplantae; Streptophyta; Magnoliopsida; Malvales; Malvaceae.